Molecule: ribosomal RNA, 378 nt
Filed under: uncultured bacterium
Lineage: Bacteria
Description: partial 16S ribosomal RNA
Rfam family: Bacterial small subunit ribosomal RNA
Source: RNAcentral
UGGGGAAUAUUGGACAAUGGGCGCAAGCCUGAUCCAGCAAUGCCGCGUGAGUGAUGAAGGCCUUAGGGUUGUAAAGCUCUUUCGCACGCGACGAUGAUGACGGUAGCGUGAGAAGAAGCCCCGGCUAACUUCGUGCCAGCAGCCGCGGUAAUACGAAGGGGGCUAGCGUUGUUCGGAAUUACUGGGCGUAAAGGGCGCGUAGGCGGCCUGUUUAGUCAGAAGUGAAGCCCCGGGCUCACCUGGGAAUAGCUUUUGAUACUGGCAGGCUUGAGUUCCGGAGAGGAUGGUGGAUUCCCAGUGUAGAGGUGAAUUCGUAGAUAUUGGGAGAACACCGGUGGCGAAGGCGGCCAUCUGGACGGACACUGACGCUGAGGCGCG